RNAcentral lists this unclassified non-coding RNA (345 nucleotides) under soil metagenome. Its description in RNAcentral is "partial contains 5.8S ribosomal RNA, internal transcribed spacer 2, and large subunit ribosomal RNA". The stretch from base 1 to 120 matches the Rfam family "5.8S ribosomal RNA", at positions 35 to 154 of the family's 154-position model. The record is from RNAcentral.
GAUGAAGAACGCAGCGAAAUGCGAUAAGUAAUGUGAAUUGCAGAUUUCAGUGAAUCAUCGAGUCUUUGAACGCACAUUGCGCCCCCUGGUAUUCCGGGGGGCAUGCCUGUCCGAGCGUCAUUGCUGCCCUCAAGCACGGCUUGUGUGUUGGGCCUCCGUCCUCCUCCCGGGGGACGGGCCCGAAAGGCAGCGGCGGCACCGCGUCCGGUCCUCGAGCGUAUGGGGCUUCGUCACCCGCUCUUGUAGGCCCGGCCGGCGCUUGCCGACACAUCAAUCUUUUUUCCAGGUUGACCUCGGAUCAGGUAGGGAUACCCGCUGAACUUAAGCAUAUCAAUAAGCGGAGGA